RNAcentral lists this ribosomal RNA (459 nucleotides) under Triticum aestivum (bread wheat). RNAcentral describes it as "partial small subunit ribosomal RNA". The record is from RNAcentral. Lineage: Eukaryota; Viridiplantae; Streptophyta; Magnoliopsida; Poales; Poaceae.
AUGGAGUAUGCUAAUUUACGACGCCAAGCAGCAUCCUUGAAAAGGAGCCUCUUUGAUCAGGGGUAUUUGGAUGAGCAAUUUUGCCAGGUUGAGGACUUGCAGGAUGAAGCAAGCCCCAAUUUUGCAGAAGAAGUGGUCUCCUUGUUCUUCAAGGACUCAGCGAGGCUAGUGACAAACAUUGAGCAAGCUAUGGAGAAGUAUCCAAAAGAUUUCAAUAGAUGGGAUGCACACAUGCAGCAGCUUAGAGGCAGCUGUUUUAGCAUCGGCGCUUCUAAGAUGAACAAUGAGUGCACAUCUUUCAGGAACAGCUGUGGAGAAGAAAAUGCUGAAGGCUGCAGGAGAACUUUCCAGAAAGUGAAGAGGGAGCAUGCUAUUCUGAGGCAGAAGCUGGAGUCCUACUUCCAGCUGCUGCGACAAGCUGGUCCUGCCAGGGCCGCGACCAGGCCUGGAAGCAUGUAA